Molecule: ribosomal RNA, 776 nt
Filed under: Salmonella enterica
Lineage: Bacteria; Pseudomonadati; Pseudomonadota; Gammaproteobacteria; Enterobacterales; Enterobacteriaceae
Also listed under: 1 other name
Description: bacterial LSU rRNA
Rfam family: Bacterial large subunit ribosomal RNA
Source: RNAcentral
GGGUUGUGAGGUUAAGCGACUAAGCGUACACGGUGGAUGCCCUGGCAGUCAGAGGCGAUGAAGGGCGUGCUAAUCUGCGAUAAGCGCCGGUAAGGUGAUAUGAACCGUUAUAACCGGCGAUACCCGAAUGGGGAAACCCAGUGUGACUCGUCACACUAUCAUUAACUGAAUCCAUAGGUUAAUGAGGCGAACCGGGGGAACUGAAACAUCUAAGUACCCCGAGGAAAAGAAAUCAACCGAGAUUCCCCCAGUAGCGGCGAGCGAACGGGGAGGAGCCCAGAGCCUGAAUCAGCAUGUGUGUUAGUGGAAGCGUCUGGAAAGGCGCGCGAUACAGGGUGACAGCCCCGUACACAAAAGCGUAUGUGCUGUGAGCUCGAUGAGUAGGGCGGGACACGUGGUAUCCUGUCUGAAUAUGGGGGGACCAUCCUCCAAGGCUAAAUACUCCUGACUGACCGAUAGUGAACCAGUACCGUGAGGGAAAGGCGAAAAGAACCCCGGCGAGGGGAGUGAAAAAGAACCUGAAACCGUGUACGUACAAGCAGUGGGAGCCCCACCACUAAGCCAGUGGUGAACUCCACAUACGCAUCCUUUGCUGAGGAUACGGUUAACGGAGCGAAAGCGACGUUCAACCGCAAAAGAAGCAGAGGGGGCUUAGUGGUGGGGUGACUGCGUACCUUUUGUAUAAUGGGUCAGCGACUUAUAUUCUGUAGCAAGGUUAACCGAAUAGGGGAGCCGGAGGGAAACCGAGUCUUAACCGGGCGUUAAGUUGCAGGGUA